Molecule: long non-coding RNA, 3800 nt
Filed under: Sus scrofa (pig)
Lineage: Eukaryota; Metazoa; Chordata; Mammalia; Artiodactyla; Suidae
Description: lncRNA (ENSSSCG00045036464.1)
Source: RNAcentral
GGUUUUCAGUGUUCUGUCAAUUUCCUACUGUACAGCAAGGGGACCCAGUCACACAUACAUGUAUACAUUCUUUUUCUCACAUUAUCAUGCUCCAUCAUAAGUGACUAGAUAGAGUUCCUACUGCCAUACAGCAGGAUCCCAUUGCUUAUUCACUACAAAGGCAACAGUUUUAUCUACUCACCCAAAUUCCCAAUCCAUCCCACCAACCCCCCUCGGCAAACACAAGUCCGUUCUCCAUGUCCAUGAUUUUCUUUUCUGUGGAAAGGUUCAUUUGUGCCAUAUAUUAGGUACCAGAUAUAAGUGAAAUCAUAGGUAUUUGUCUUUCUCUUUCUGACUUAGUUCCAUCCCUGGCCUCGCUCGGUGGGUUGGGGGAUGAUUUUUGCUGUAGCCGCUGGCCUAUGCCAGCGGCCACAGCAACGCAGGAUCCGAGCCGCGUCUGCAACCUACACCAAAGUGCACGGCAACGCCGGGUCCUUAACCCACUGAGCAAGGCCAGGGACCGAACCCAAGACCUCAUGGUUCCUAGUCGGAUUCGUUAACCACUGCGCCACGAAGGGAACUCCCAGCAGCUACAGUUCUGAUUUGACCCCUAGCCUGGGAACCUCCAUAUGCCGUGGGUAGCUGCCUUAAAAGGACAAAAAAAAAAAAAAAAGUCACAAAUUCUCUGAGCUUCCAUCUACCAAAAAGUGGGGGUCUAUGUUUCUCUUUCCUUGAAUCUGAGUGGGCUUGAAACUCCACUGACCUCCAAAGUCCGGCAAAAGUAACACUGUAUGACUUCUAAAGUGAGGCCAUUAAAAAAGGCCACGAAGUUUCCAUGUUGGCCACUAAGGCCCGAGCCACCAGGUAGGAAGUGGCUCUAAGAUGCCCUGUAAGACGAUUAGAGGCUGCCGCACGGGAGGAAGCCCAGGCUGCAAGCAGAGGCCACUUGUAGACGCUCCCAGUCAACAGCCCAGCCGAGUGGAGCCUUGGAGUCAUUCCGGCCCUGCUGACCGCUGUGAGAGCGAAGACACUUUCACAUGAUGCCAGUUCCCCGCGGUUGAGGGACACUUCGCCAUUCAAGUUGGCCCAGCUGAGGCUCCAGAAAUGUGGGAGCAGAAACAAGUCCCUGCCAUGCCCUGUCCGAAUUUUUGACCCAUGGAAUCUGUGAGCAAAAUAAAAUGGUUGUUUUAUGCCACUAAGUUUGGGGCAUGCCUUAUCAUGUCCAAAAAUUUAUCACGAAGCAAAAGAAAUUGGAACAAUAGGCGAGAACUGACAGAAAAGCGGGUUAGUUAUUUUAAAAGAUAGGAAGCUAUAUUUUCUUUGACGGUCUAAGCCUGGUUUGAGAGAAACUGUUACCCUAUCACGAAGGGAGGGGACUAAAUAAAUUGUAAUACUUUUGUGACUGUUAAGACUCUUUUAUCUACAGCUGCUGUAAUAGAAACGGUCUCAGUUAUUCGGAAUCUCAGCAGUCCAAAGAGAAUUUGGGAAAGAUAACCCCUCUCUUGUUUAGAUUUUCCAUUCGGGGCUAACAUUCCCAAGAUGCCAUUUAGAGUUUUCCAUGCACCCAUUUCUGCCUAUUUUCCUUGGAGCAGGAUGUAUAUUAACCAUUCAAUAACCUUGCAGAAUGACUGAUACGGUCCAGGCCGACUGGGAGAGAUAUUCCAGACAAAGCAAAGGCACCAGGGUGAAUAAAAGCAAUAAAGAUGGGCCCUUGGGGAGAACAGAGGAGGCCGCCUGAGCCUUAUUCCAUAUACCUUCCCUCGACAUUCACGUGCCUGUAUCUCUAGACCUUUAGCCAGGCUGCUCUCGUUACCUGAAAUGCUCUUCUCCCACCCGCCGGAUGAACUCUUACUCAUCCUGCAAAGCCCGGCCCCACUGUCAGAUUUUCUCUGGAGCUUUCCCUGAUAUGGCCCUACUUGAAGGGAAAUGAAUCCCUCUAUUCUACUCUCUUGCAAUGCUUUCCAUAGCCUCUAGUGUAGCAGGACACUCUCCAGCAUAUUCAGAAAGUUCAGAUGUCUGUUUUCCUCGAUAAACUGUUUAUGAGCAGAGAGAAAGGACGCUUCCCAUUCAUCAUCCUACCUCCUGUCUGAGCGCCUUUGUGCCAAAUGUGAGAGGUCAAAGAAGAAAAACCGCUGCCUUUGAGGCGCCCGCAAUGAAGAGGAGAGAUCCAAAAGCAGUCACAGAGCCGUGCUCUAAGAGCUACACAGAGGUGUGCUGCGAUGAUGCGGACAACACAUGUCCUUCCAGAGGAAACCAGGAAGUGGCACAAAGCAGGUGACAUUUAAAGUGACCCUUGAAAUCAACAAGAAGCCUACACAGGGGAAAUCUAUGGAAUCAGAGCCGAAAGGUCUCAGAAGGGAACUUUUCUUUUUUUUGUCUUUUGUAGGGCCGCUCUGGUGGCAUAUGGAGGUUCCCAAGCUAGGGGUCUAAUCGGAGCUGUAGCUGCCGGCCUACGCCAGAGCCACAGCAACGAGGGAUCGAGCUUCAUCUGCAACCUACACCACUGAGCAACGCCGGAUCCUUAACCCACUGAGCAAGGCCAGGGGUUGAACCUGCAACCUCAUGGUUCCUAGUCGGAUGCCUUAACCACCAAGCCACGACGGGAAUUUCAGAAGGGAACUUCUGAAUAAGAGGAACAUCUGCUCAGGUCUGGUCAUUGUUCUCCCUCCCUAUGGCUGGAGAUUCCCUGCUCAUUAUUCCAAGUUCCCUUUUUUUCCCCACACCCCAAGUCCCUCAGUGGUCCCCAUUACAUCAAAAACACCUAUCAUCUGAACUAGCAACUUGUUGAAAAAAAUGAAUGAAAAUGCAUUCAAACCAGUAGCAAUCAAAUGAAUCCAAAUUAAAACAAGGAACUACUUUUUCACCUGUCAAAUAUUUUCAAAUAGCAUGGUAUUUGUUAUCAAAGAAGAAUCAGAGGGACCCAAACUCUGUCCUCUCUGAGAGGCAAUUUGGUUUGAUGUAACAAAAGCCGUGCAAAUAACUGCACUCUCUCAAUUAGGAAUUCCUUUCAGAGGAAUUUGUCCUAAGUAUAAAAGUCUCUGCUAUAAAGAUCAUCACAGCUUUAUUUAAAAUUGUGGAAAACAGUAAACUACCUAAAUGUCCAACAACAGAAGAGUGAAAAAAAUCUGGCACUGUAGUAAGUGUAACACUACCAUCGAGAGAGUGCUUACGAUGGGUCUGGUAUUAUCAAAUUUCAUCCUACGGCAAUUUAUAAAGUAGUUAUGUGACUUUUCCAGUUGCACCAGAAUUAGCAAAUGGAGGCCACAGCUAAGAGUAGAGACGAGGUUAGUUCCCCAUAAAGAGAACAAUCAAUAACUGAAGGUGGGCUUAUUUAAGAAUUUAUUAAGAAGCUACAGUAUGAAACCUUUUAACUCCACCAUCUUCUGUGCCCCUGCACGGCUCCUCCCCUCCCACGGUCCACAAAAGAACAGAUGGGGAGGGGGACGGUGGACCCUCUGACCCAGCAGGUUGUGCUGGAAUUUGGGGUGGUACUCUCCCUAUGCCCACAGUGGGCUCCCCUAAGAGAAACAGUUACAGAGUUUUGGGGUGCCACAGAAAAAGAACUUGGACAGUAUUUUUUUUUUAAUUUUUAAAAAACUGCAAUGUCUGGUGAAUAUUUGCUCAGGUAGCUGACUUUCAGAUCCAUCCUGGACCAUUCUGAACAAGAGAAGAAGAAAUGGAGGGAAAAGGGAACAGCAGUGCUUUUCCCACACCGUUUGGCAUGGCUAGGAGUCCCACGGAAACUGAUGACUUUGCAAGAAUCCCCAUACAAGAAGGUUGUCCCCUGGGCAAGGGGACCCCAGCUGUGGGGAACCAAGAGU